Molecule: transfer RNA, 86 nt
Filed under: Alienimonas chondri
Lineage: Bacteria; Pseudomonadati; Planctomycetota; Planctomycetia; Planctomycetales; Planctomycetaceae
Description: tRNA-Ala
Source: RNAcentral
GUCGGCGUGGGGCGGGCCGGUCGCGCCGGGGUUCGCUCCGCCGGGGUGGAGCCCGUACCCGGGCGUUCCGAACGUCCCGCCGACUC